Long non-coding RNA from Ixodes scapularis (black-legged tick), 2527 nucleotides. RefSeq lists it as uncharacterized. NCBI's taxonomy places the organism in Eukaryota, Metazoa, Arthropoda, Arachnida, Ixodida, Ixodidae. The record is from RefSeq and is a predicted model, not a curated record. The transcript has 2 exons.
UCUUCGAGUGUGGGGAAGAUGGUCGGAGUCGCGUCCUAUGGUCAUCAUGUUCCAUAUUUGGCACAGAGCAGGUGGCGCUAUCCGUUGAGAGAUAUGCAAGGCUGAAGUAUUUUCUUUGGGCGUGAACGCUAAAGUCUGUCUCCCAAACUGCAGUUUUUACUUUUUCUUUUGUCAAUAUGUAUACAUACAGAUUGGUUUAAAAAAUAUACCUAUUUAGUGGGACUUUUCAACAUUAUAUAUUCAAUGUUAGACUGCCGUGUUUUGCGCGCAACUACGGCUUCGGGAUAAAAAUGGCCAUGUGCCAAAUUCGGAACAUUCUGCACACCGGGUGCCGGUGCCAUUCGAAAGCGAAACUGUGCCACGGAGUGCUCUUCGUACGGGCUGCGCCGGCAGCCGCAAAGCUCUAUCUGAAAGCGAGGACACUGACCUGUCCGAGUCGGAUGGAGAUGAACUACCAUGUCAGUUGGAGAAAAAAAAAACACGUGCUAGUGAUUUGCAGCGAUUGAUUGGCGCUUCGCUUUGAAUGAUGCCUGCCCACGUAAACGUGCCAGCUCUAGGUCGUUUUGGACAGAGCUUAGGUGCGGUUGAUGGUGCUUAGGUGCCCUUACAAAUGACAGUAGAAUUCAAUAAUCUAACCAGAUCACUACUGAAACAGUCACGGCUACAACUCAGGUGAUAGGUACAGUGCAUGAAACCCCCUGUGAGGCGAGCCGUCAGCGGAAUGUGUUCCAUGUGAUGUUCAGUGUAUCUCGCGGUUUCUAGUUGUCCUAUAGACACUUUUUACAAGUUGAACUUGUUCUUGUGUUCCUGAAAUCAGCUAAAUAAAUAAGGUUUUUUUUUCGUUUUAGAUCAGGGGAACAUUUCAGCAGACGAUUCGGACAGCGAUACAGAUUCUGGAUUAUCUACACUUCCCACGAUGUCCAGCCGCAAUAACAAUCAAGACCAAAUUGUGUGGAAGCAUGGUCAUCUGACUAUCGACGAGUCUGAAUUGAUGUUCAUUGGUAACAGCUAUUUGCCUUCGUCAGUUCUGGAGCUGGGAACUCCGAACGACUUUUUUCAGCACAUAUUUACGCCUGAAUGUUUUCGUAUGAUCACUAAAACACGUGCUUUCAUUCGGCCUAAUCGAGGCCUGAAAAGCCCUUUUCGCUGACCGACGCGGACACGGAGGUUUUCAUCGGGUCUCUAUUGUGGAUGUCCCCGAUCCAACUGCCACGAACCAGGAUGUAUGGGAGCCCAAGAUUCUAUGUUCCCCAAGUGGCAAGUUUGAUGCCUGUGAACCGAUGGAAAGGGGUGAAGUUUUUUUGUUUUUUUUUAUUUACUUUUCUCACAACCUCACGGCAGUGCCGAAAGGACAAGACGGUCACACAGGCAACACAAGAUCCGGCCUUUGAUGGAAAGCAUAGAACAACGCUGUUUCUCAGUCCCGUUUGAAGAAGACCUUUCGGUGGAGGUGCAAAUUCGCGCGAUCAAGGGAAGGAGUGCACUAAAGUUAUAUAACCCAAAGAACCGCAUCGAUGGGGGGUACAAAAUAUUUGUCUUAUCAGGAGUCACUGGCUUCCCUUAUAACUUUGAACUCUACACUGGCCAAGAGAAUAUCGGUGUAGACAAAGCUGCCAACUGCGGUGCAGCGGAAACGUCAGUCUUCGCCUCACUUGAUCGGUCCCACAUCAUGUCAAGCACAAGGUCUACUUCGACAAUAAGUUUACUAGCCCGAAGCUGCAGGUAACGCUGUCCAAAGCCGGAAUACUAUCGCUAGGGACUGUCCGGGCGAACAGGCUGCGAGGUUGUCAGCUGAAGUCCGAAAAAGAGCUAAGGAAAAAAGGAAGAGGCUCUUUAGAGGAACUAAUGGGCGAACUGGACGGCUUUGAACUCUCCUGCGCGCGCUGGUUUGACAAUCGCGCAGUGACGUUCCUUUCUACUUUCAGGGGCAAUCUCCAGUGCAAAAAGCAAAGCGCUGGUCUUCUCCUAAAAAGGAGUUCACGGAUAUCGACUGUCCCGAUAUUGUACAAAAGUACAACAAGCUCAUGGGGGGUGUAGACCUUCUUGACUCUCUCCUUGGCCUCUACCGUAUCCACAUAAGGUCAAAGAAAUGAAGUCAAGGCAGAAGUUGUCAAAAGUCUGACCCGUCAGAACACGUCUAUACCCAACAGGAGACCUGGAAGGCCAUCCUACCACAACUCUCAAGCACAGCCCCAAUCGAAGAAUGCUCGUGGACCAGCGGAAAGUGCACCUGGUAAAGGUGACCGAACCGAUAAAGUGGGGCACUGGCCAGAGUUUUACAAUAAAAGGCAAAGAUGCAAGCAUCUGUUGUGUUAAAAAAAAUUGUCCGUGCGUUGUUCCAAGUGCAAUGUUCACCUCUGUUUGAAUGCUUGAAAUAACUGUUUCGUGUCUUUCCACACAUCAUAGAGAACGCUGAUUUAACGCUACGUACCAAGAAUGGCGUCUCAUGUGCAUAGUGUGCCAUAUAUGGUAAACAUUUGUUUUUUGUUAAAAACACGAUCAAUAAACGUGAUUGCUUUUUCACAAA